RNAcentral lists this ribosomal RNA (422 nucleotides) under uncultured bacterium. RNAcentral's name for it is "bacterial SSU rRNA". It matches the Rfam family "Bacterial small subunit ribosomal RNA", at positions 359 to 773 of the family's 1533-position model. The record is from RNAcentral.
GAAUAUUGGACAAUGGGGGCAACCCUGAUCCAGCCAUGCCGCGUGUGUGAAGAAGGCCUUUUGGUUGUAAAGCACUUUAAGCAGUGAAGAAGACUCCAUGGUUAAUACCCAUGGACGAUGACCUUAGCUGCCGAAUAAGGCCCCGCUAACUCUUUGCCAGCAGCCGCGGUAAUACAGAGGGUGCAAGCGUUAAUCGGAAUUACUGGGCGUAAAGCGAGCGUAGGUGGCUUGAUAAGUCAGAUGUGAAAUCCCCGGGCUUAACCUGGGAACUGCAUCUGAUGCUGUUAGGCUAGAAUAGGUGAGAGGAAGGUAGAAUUCCAGGUGUAGCGGUGAAAUGCGUAGAGAUCUGGUGGAAUACCGAUGGCGAAGGCAGCCUUCUGGCAUCAUAUUGACACUGAGGUUCGAAAGCGUGGGUAGCAAAC